Molecule: non-coding RNA, 437 nt
Organism: Pogona vitticeps (central bearded dragon)
Lineage: Eukaryota; Metazoa; Chordata; Lepidosauria; Squamata; Agamidae
Source: RefSeq, a predicted model, not a curated record
UAGCCUAGCUUCAGAAACUCAGAAACCAUCCUGAAAGACAGCAUUGCAUCAGCUUCACAAAAAGACAUGUUCCUCUUGGCCUUCUCCUGAGCUUUUAGCAUCACCAGAACCCCAAGAAAAUGACGCGAUGUAGCUGUAAACCUUCUAGUCGCAGAAGACAUAAACAACGACGGGGUUCUAGAGUUCAGAGAAGAGGAAGGAGGGGAAAGGGCAGGAAAGCAUCCGUAGCUCACACUGUGUACUACUACAGGAAGGUGAAAUAGCCCUUGUUGAACCUCCUAAUGUGCAGCAGUUUUGGGAAAUGUCAACUAACAACAAAAUGAUGUCUCCCACGUGAACAAAUCGCUGCUCCAGCAAAGCCAGGCAAAAUGAUGUUCCAAGAUGCUGAAGGAGGAUCACAGAGGAACAGUCUUUCAUUAAAACCUGAAGCCGCAAAA